This 496-nucleotide ribosomal RNA is filed under the name uncultured bacterium. RNAcentral's name for it is "partial 16S ribosomal RNA". It matches the Rfam family "Bacterial small subunit ribosomal RNA", at positions 29 to 507 of the family's 1533-position model. The record is from RNAcentral.
AUGAACGCUGGCGGCGUGCCUAAUACAUGCCAGUCGAGCGAACAGACGAGGAGCUUGCUCCUCUGACGUUAGCGGCGGACGGGUGAGUAACACGUGGAUAACCUACCUAUAAGACUGGGAUAACUUCGGGAAACCGGAGCUAAUACCGGAUAAUAUAUUGAACCGCAUGGUUCAAUAGUGAAAGACGGUUUUGCUGUCACUUAUAGAUGGAUCCGCGCCGCAUUAGCUAGUUGGUAAGGUAACGGCUUACCAAGGCAACGAUGCGUAGCCGACCUGAGAGGGUGAUCGGCCACACUGGAACUGAGACACGGUCCAGACUCCUACGGGAGGCAGCAGUAGGGAAUCUUCCGCAAUGGGCGAAAGCCUGACGGAGCAACGCCGCGUGAAUGAUGAAGGUCUUCGGAUCGUAAAACUCUGUUAUUAGGGAAGAACAAAUGUGUAAGUAACUAUGCACGUCUUGACGGUACCUAAUCAGAAAGCCACGGCUAACUACGUG